GACGAACGCUGGCGGCGUGCUUAACACAUGCAAGUCGAACGGUGAAGCGCCUUCCUUUUUGGUGGGUGUGGAUGAGUGGCGAACGGGUGAGUAACACGUUAGUAACCUGCCCCCUCCUUCUGGAUAACCGCAUGAAAGUGUGGCUAAUACGGGAUAUUCUGGGUCUGUCGCAUGAUUGGUCUGGGAAAGAUAUUGUUUCGCUGGGGGAUGGGUUCGCGGCCUAUCAGCUUGUUGGUGGGGUGAUGGCCUACCAAGGCGAUGACGGGUAGCCGGCCUGAGAGGGUGGACGGUCACACAGGGACUGAGACGCGGCGCAGACUCCUACGGGAGGCAGCAGUGAAGAAUACUGCACAAUGGGCGCAAGCCUGAUGCAGCGACGCCGCGGGAGUGAUGGUGGCCUUCGGGUUGUGAACCUCUUUCGCCAGUGAAGCAGGCCUGCCUCGUUUGUGGGUGGGUUGACGGUAGCUGGAUAAGAAGCGCCGGCUAACUACGUG
Molecule: ribosomal RNA, 494 nt
Filed under: uncultured bacterium
Lineage: Bacteria
Description: partial 16S ribosomal RNA
Rfam family: Bacterial small subunit ribosomal RNA
Source: RNAcentral